RNAcentral lists this ribosomal RNA (466 nucleotides) under uncultured bacterium. RNAcentral describes it as "partial 16S ribosomal RNA". It matches the Rfam family "Bacterial small subunit ribosomal RNA", at positions 28 to 507 of the family's 1533-position model. The record is from RNAcentral.
GACGAACGCUGGCGGCGCGCCUAACACAUGCAAGUCGAACGAGCGAGAGAGAGCUUGCUUUCUCAAGCGAGUGGCGAACGGGUGAGUAACGCGUGAGGAACCUGCCUCAAAGAGGGGGACAACAGUUGGAAACGACUGCUAAUACCGCAUAAGCCCACAGGUCGGCAUCGACCAGAGGGAAAAGGAGCAAUCCGCUUUGAGAUGGCCUCGCGUCCGAUUAGCUAGUUGGUGAGGUAACGGCCCACCAAGGCAACGAUCGGUAGCCGGACUGAGAGGUUGAACGGCCACAUUGGGACUGAGACACGGCCCAGACUCCUACGGGAGGCAGCAGUGGGGAAUAUUGCACAAUGGGGGAAACCCUGAUGCAGCGACGCCGCGUGGAGGAAGAAGGUCUUCGGAUUGUAAACUCCUGUUGUGGAGGAAGAUAAUGACGGUACUCAACAAGGAAGUGACGGCUAACUACGUG